Molecule: ribosomal RNA, 370 nt
Filed under: uncultured eukaryote
Lineage: Eukaryota
Description: partial 18S ribosomal RNA
Rfam family: Eukaryotic small subunit ribosomal RNA
Source: RNAcentral
CAAUAGCGUAUAUUAAAGUUGUUGCAGUUAAAAAGCUCGUAGUUGGAUUUCUGGUCGGAAGCUCCUGUCCUCUGAUGAGCGUACAAGUGCGUCCUACCAUCCUUCUGUUAACCUUUAAGGCUUUCGCGGCUUUCUAGGGGCUCAGAUAUUUUACCUUGAGAAAAUUAGAGUGUUUCAGGCGGGCUAGCGCCGGAAUACAUUAGCAUGGAAUAAUGGAAUAGGACUUUUGCCUCUUCUGUUGGUCAUGAGGCUCGAGUAAUGAUUAAUAGGGAUAGUUGGGGGCAUUAGUACUUAACUGUCAGAGGUGAAAUUCUCGGAUUUGUUAAAGACUAACUUAUGCGAAAGCAUUUGCCAAGGAUGUUUUCAUUAA